GUGGUGGUGGCGCGGUGAGGGCCAGGAUGAGAUGGGCUCCUCUACGGCUGUCCUGUUUCCCUGUCACCUCAGGAAGGGCCAGGUAGCUCUCACCUGUCAGGUGAACACAAAGAAAGGAUACUGUCCCAUCAUUGUGUCCUCUGUUACCUGCCGGGUGUUUCAUGACUGUCCACUGUGUAUCUCCUUCCCUUGGAUUGAUCCAUCCACAAAGCCCAUGGUCAAAUGAACAACUGAGGACACCCGCCUCUGAAACAUUGAAAGGACCUUUAAACAUGUCUAUUCAGUGACAACAGUGUGAAAUAACUGUGUAUUUUUAGUUUUGUUUUAACUUUGUCUACUUUUAAGGAACAUCAAACCUGUCAAGGGACAAAAGAUGGAAAUUAACCUCAUGGCUACAAUCUUGUAUAUUUAGCAUGUUGUUUUAAAUGCUGGUAAUAUACAUGUAUGCUGUCCUUUUGUUAAAUAAAUAAACUUGCAAACUUGUA
Long non-coding RNA from Engraulis encrasicolus (European anchovy), 485 nucleotides. RefSeq lists it as uncharacterized. The record is from RefSeq and is a predicted model, not a curated record. NCBI's taxonomy places the organism in Eukaryota, Metazoa, Chordata, Actinopteri, Clupeiformes, Engraulidae. The transcript has 2 exons.